This 441-nucleotide ribosomal RNA is filed under the name uncultured bacterium. RNAcentral describes it as "partial 16S ribosomal RNA". It matches the Rfam family "Bacterial small subunit ribosomal RNA", at positions 338 to 795 of the family's 1533-position model. The record is from RNAcentral.
CCUACGGGAGGCAGCAGUGGGGAAUAUUGGGCAAUGGGCGCAAGCCUGACCCAGCAACGCCGCGUGAAGGAAGAAGGCUUUCGGGUUGUAAACUUCUUUUGACAGGGAAGAGUAGCAGACGGUACCUGGCGAAUAAGCCACGGCUGACUACGUGCCAGCAGCCGGGGUAAUACGUAGGUGGCAAGCGUUGUCCGGAUUUACUGGGGGUAAAGGGCGUGUAGCCGGGUUGACAAGUCAGAUGUGACAUCCUGCGGCUUAACCGCAGAACUGCAUUUGAAACUGUUGAUCUUGAGUACUGGACAGGCAGACGGAAUUCCUAGUGUAGCGGUGAAAUGCGUAGAUAUUAGAGGAACACCAGUGGCGAAGGCGGUCUGCUGGACAGCAACUGACGGUGCGGCGCGAAAGCGUGGGGAGCAAACAGGAUUAGAUACCCCUGUAGUC